GCCGAAGUAGCUCAGUUGGUAGAGCGGCUGAUUCGUAAUCAGUAGGUCGGAGGUUCGAAUCCUCUCUUCGGCACCA
RNAcentral lists this transfer RNA (76 nucleotides) under Holosporales bacterium. RNAcentral's name for it is "tRNA-Thr". It matches the Rfam family "tRNA". Rfam says of the family: Transfer RNA (tRNA) molecules are approximately 80 nucleotides in length. Their secondary structure includes four short double-helical elements and three loops (D, anti-codon, and T loops). Further hydrogen bonds mediate the characteristic L-shaped molecular structure. tRNAs have two regions of fundamental functional importance: the anti-codon, which is responsible for specific mRNA codon recognition, and the 3' end, to which the tRNAs corresponding amino acid is attached (by aminoacyl-tRNA synthetases). tRNAs cope with the degeneracy of the genetic code in two manners: having more than one tRNA (with a specific anti-codon) for a particular amino acid; and 'wobble' base-pairing, i.e. permitting non-standard base-pairing at the 3rd anti-codon position. Lineage: Bacteria; Pseudomonadati; Pseudomonadota; Alphaproteobacteria; Holosporales. The record is from RNAcentral.